CUGGGUUUAAAACGUCGUGAGACAGUUUGGUCCCUAUCUGCCGUGGGCGUAGGAGAUUUGAGAGGAUCUGUUCCUAGUACGAGAGGACCGGAAUGGACGAACCUCUAGUGUACCUGUUGUCUCGCCAGAGGCAGUUGCAGGGUAGCUAUGUUCGGAAAGGAUAACCGCUGAAAGCAUCUAAGCGGGAAGCCCCCCUCAAGACAAGAUCUCCCUGGACUUCGGUCCCUAAAGGUCCGUCGUAGACGACGACGUUGAUAGGCCGGCGGUGUAAGCACAGCAAUGUGUUCAGCUAACCGGUACUAAUUGACCGUGAGGCUUGACCAU
RNAcentral lists this ribosomal RNA (324 nucleotides) under Deltaproteobacteria bacterium. Its description in RNAcentral is "partial 23S ribosomal RNA". It matches the Rfam family "Bacterial large subunit ribosomal RNA", at positions 2605 to 2925 of the family's 2925-position model. The record is from RNAcentral. Lineage: Bacteria; Pseudomonadati; Myxococcota; Myxococcia.